GGGAAGACAACAAAAGGAAGAGCUACAUAAGAAAGGUAUAGAGUUCCAGUUCUAUGGAGUCCAAUACUGUUGCUAUCAUAGGCUUCCCGCUCCGCACCAAGCAUAAGCAGCUCCAAAAAGGUUCCAUUCUAGACGGGGCUCAGCAUCAUUCUGUAAGGUAUUUCUCCAUCAGUGAUGCAUCCUGUAGUUUAAAAUAAACUCAGGUGAAUCUACGACAAUAUUAAAACUGCCUCAUUAUUUCAUAUCCAAGGCAGAAGAACUGGCAGGCUCAAACUAUAUUCUCUAUAGUUAUAAUAUAGGUUAUCAAACAGCGAGAAAUAGGCAGGCUAACUAAUAACUUUGGGAACCAGACAUAAAAGACGAUUGCUGCAAAAAUACAGGCCAUAGGAUUAAUAAGAACUGGCAGGCUCAAACUAUAUUCUGUUUAGUAGCCCAGCUCCCUUUCCAGCAGCAGAGUUUCUUAACUGCAAGUUUUGUUCUAGUCAGAAAUGAAUAUUUGUUUUGUCUGUACAAACUGAAGGGAUGCAUAUAUAGAUGGACAGCAUAAAAAGCAGCACCACUUGUUCCUGGUCACUCGAGCCUGGACAUCCUUAUCAUCCUUUUCUUCAACAGGAGGCGAAGAAGCAUCAGCUUGACCACCAGAGCUCGCCUGGUGCGUGAAAGAAAACCAGUGAAGAGGGAGACAUGUGUAAAUAUGUGGGCAUAUAGCAUAGCCGACAGGGCACGACGAUUUGGUACAAAAGGAAACACAAACAUGAGUGCAAUUAAGUAGUUAUAAGCAUAUUAUAGUUGUCUGUUUCAGAAGACAUAC
This 811-nucleotide long non-coding RNA is filed under the name Triticum aestivum (bread wheat). Its description in RNAcentral is "long non-coding RNA (TAES_LNC027661)". Lineage: Eukaryota; Viridiplantae; Streptophyta; Magnoliopsida; Poales; Poaceae. The record is from RNAcentral.